This 1978-nucleotide long non-coding RNA is filed under the name Rhinopithecus bieti (black snub-nosed monkey). RNAcentral describes it as "lncRNA (ENSRBIG00000045903.1)". The record is from RNAcentral. Lineage: Eukaryota; Metazoa; Chordata; Mammalia; Primates; Cercopithecidae.
CGUCCACAGUCAUGCAGGAUGCACCACGGCGCCCAGACCCAGCUUCCUGACCCAGCCCUGCCCCUUCCUAGCUCAGGCCAGGGCCCAGGAGACCCCUCCACAUCCCUCACCCCACCCUACCCCGUCACUUCCCUUCCACCCCCACCCCUUCACUGCCUCCCGUCCCCUCACCUCCCUCCCGCCCCCACCCCCUCACCUCCCUCUCACCCCCUCACCUUCUCCCACCCCCUCCUCUCCCUCCCACUCCCUCCCUUCCUACUCCCCUGCACCCCUCCAUGUCUGGCCCCUGGGAGGGUGACUCUGUCCUCAGUGUCCUGUCUGCCUCCACUGAUGUCUGCUGACUGCCAUUCACUCCAGGCUCAGCCUUCUCAGCCCCCUGGGCAGGACGCUGCCUCCUCCCGUCACUGCCGGACUCCCCAGGCGGAGUGCGUGGGUUUCUCACCUGGAGCUGCUGAGCCCCACCUGUGUGGGGUCCUGGGGCUGCCCCAGUCCUCACAGCAGGCUCAGCUCACGAGUUCCCACGAAGAUGAGCUUGCGUCCCUGGGGAUUUUCCGCUUGACCAGCACCCCAUGAGGCUGCCCCUGUGCAGCUGCCAGCCCAGCCCUCCCUGAGCGCCUUCCAGGGCCUGGCCCGAGGUCUGCAGGCAGGAGCCUCCCGUGCAGGCAGCACAUGAAAACUUUCAAGUUUAUUAAGGCGGAGGUUUGGCGGCACCGGCUCCGGGUUCUGAGCCCGGCUGGAGUACCUGCUCUGGCCAGGACGGGGUCCCCCCAGGCCAAGGUGUUGGUCGAAUUCCUUCAAAUCUUAGGGGAGAUUCGCAGGAAACAAGAGCGCGUCUGGACCCCAGGUCGAAACGGGCCAGGAGCAGCCAGGUGGCCGUGUGGCCCCACAUCCAGCCGCAGGCCAGUGGCAGGGCAGACCUUGGCUCUCAGAGAGCAUCUUGAGCCUGGACAGAGCCUUAUAAGGCGCUCCUGGGGCCAUGACACACACUCCAAGAAUAGCCUCCAGGCUUUGUCUUCUGACGGGCUGGCGCCAGGGUCCUGCAGAGAGUGCCCGGCAGCCAACCAGGGGCCAGUCAGGCACAUGCACACCAGCCUCCUUCCUGCCAACCCACUGGGCUGGGGUUUCCCGGGGCUGCGGGAAGGGAAGUGGAGGAAGGACGCAGCCCCGCGGCUGGCAGGUGCAGGCCUGGGCUCUCAUCCUGGUGCUGACCCCACCUGGUCAGGCAAUGCCCACACGGGACCAGACUAGGACCCUUAACCUUUUCUACUGCAUCUUGCUGGCCGGCGGGCAAAGCCUCUGUGCUCAUGGAAUGCCGUUUAAAAAUGCGUCAUGUAACAUACAGGACCCUCACCCAACCAUACUGCCAUGCGGCAAUAAAACAUUUUAACUGUGUUGAUGGCAUACAUGUGAAUCGAGUCUGGCUGCCACCACUGUCCUCUCCAUCCAGCUUCACAAGUGGCCGAGCCCCUGCAGGAAGGGCCAGCCGCAGGGCGUCUCUGGGCAUUGCCAACCAGCCAUCUGGCGGGUUCCCCGCGGAGUCAGGGCCAUUCCUCGGGCCUGUCCACCUGACCUGCUGCCUGCACACAGGCCUCACACCCUCACUCACACUCACACAUGCUCCAUCCCGACUCCAGCAGCCCUUCCCCCUCGGGGCCCAGGUGCCUCUUCCUGUCUCCCUCAUGCCUGAGGAGGGACCAGCAUCUGGUGCCCUUUGACCUUGGCCUGGUUCUGAAGUGAAUCACCCGGAAGGAAGGCGCUUGUCCUCCCGGACCCAGGUCUGCAACAGUUAUGACCACGCCCAUCCCAGUGGCCCUGCCAGACAGCAGGGCGGCCAGUCCACCUCCACGUAAUGGGCCCCAAUCCUGGAGCACAGCCUAGGAGAACUGCCAGGCUCCCAGAGCACGGCCUGCAGAGCAGAUAGACACAGGGCCAGGGCAGGAAGGGGCAGGAUGGGAGUGGGGGCAGAAGAGGCCAGAGC